GAUGAACGCUGACAGAAUGCUUAACACAUGCAAGUCAACUUGAAUUUGGGUUUUUAACUUAGGUUUGGGUGGCGGACGGGUGAGUAACGCGUAAAGAACUUGCCUCACAGCUAGGGACAACAUUUGGAAACGAAUGCUAAUACCUAAUAUUAUGAUAAUAGGGCAUCCUAUAAUUAUGAAAGCUAUAAGCGCUGUGAGAGAGCUUUGCGUCCCAUUAGCUAGUUGGAGAGGUAGCGGCUCACCAAGGCGAUGAUGGGUAGCCGGCCUGAGAGGGUGAUCGGCCACAAGGGGACUGAGACACGGCCCUUACUCCUACGGGAGGCAGCAGUGGGGAAUAUUGGACAAUGGACCGAGAGUCUGAUCCAGCAAUUCUGUGUGCACGAUGAAGUUUUUCGGAAUGUAAAGUGCUUUCAGUUGGGAAGAAACAAAUGACGGUACCAACAGAAGAAGUGACGGCUAAAUACGUG
RNAcentral lists this ribosomal RNA (467 nucleotides) under uncultured bacterium. RNAcentral's name for it is "partial 16S ribosomal RNA". It matches the Rfam family "Bacterial small subunit ribosomal RNA", at positions 28 to 507 of the family's 1533-position model. The record is from RNAcentral.